RNAcentral lists this ribosomal RNA (109 nucleotides) under Planctomycetaceae bacterium. Lineage: Bacteria; Pseudomonadati; Planctomycetota; Planctomycetia; Planctomycetales; Planctomycetaceae. The record is from RNAcentral.
CCCGGUGACUUACUCUUGAGGAAACACACGUUCCCAUUCCGAACACGACCGUUAAGCUCUUGAGACCGAUGAUAGUGCCGAAAGGUGUGAAAGUAGGUUAUUGCCGGGA